This 851-nucleotide unclassified non-coding RNA is filed under the name Hevea brasiliensis (rubber tree). The record is from RNAcentral. Lineage: Eukaryota; Viridiplantae; Streptophyta; Magnoliopsida; Malpighiales; Euphorbiaceae.
UGGUGGCUUUGGUUUUGGCUUAUACAUUGGUACAGGAGGAGGCUUGAAGACUGGUGGCUUUGGUUUUGGUUUGUAGAUUGGGACAGGAGGAGGAGGAGACUGGAAAACUGGCAAUUUAGGUGGAGGCUUAUAGACUGGUAUUGGUGGAGGGAGAGGCUUUGGAGGGAAGAACUUUGGUGGGAGUGGAGGAAACUCCUUAGGAGGUAAUGGUGGAAACACCUUAGGUGGUAAUGGAGGAAACACCUUCGGAGGAAAUAGAUAUGGAUGGCCAUGGCCAAAGCUUUUCAAUGGUGGCAAUUUGGGUAAUGGUGAGUGUUUGAAGUGAUGAUGCCAUAAGAAAGCUGAAGUACAGGUUACGGGUGAAAUUUUCAGUUUCCCUACAAGCCCAAAUGUGUGUUUACCAUUGCUUUUGGACUUGAAGAUAAUCUUGGAAGACUCUAGGCCACUGUGGGCAGGACAUGGUGUGGCUAAGGCACUGUGAAGUUGAGCAUAGCAUUCUUCCUUUAGUUUUCCUUCAUUUACCAUAUCAUUAGGAAGGUUCACAAUGAACUUUCCUUCUUCGUCCAACUCGCCAGUUCCUCUUGUUUUGAACUCUCCAUUUUCUGGUUUGCAAUCUAUUGUUACGUGAAGCCCUGAAAGUACCUGGUUGGCCUUAAUGUUGCUCUCUGCACAGUCUGCACAUUCUCCGAUCCCAACUACCUGAAUUGUACUAUUAUUAUCGUCACCAUAGCAGAAAGUUACAGAAAACAAUAAAAAUAGGUCGAAGCACAGAAGUGCUCCUCGAAAGAGGAUGAGAAUCCUCAUUGGGAACCACACCCAAUGGCUCCUCAAAGUAAGAAAAUCAAAAACAC